AAAGCUGGCGUCUUCGGCGUCCGCAUUGUAAUCUCAAGAAGUGUUUUCCGCUUCGGACCAUGCCUAAGUCCCUUGGAAAAGGGCAUCAUAGAGGGUGAUAAUCCCGUACAUGGCAUGGAGCGCCCGAAGCUUUGUGAUACGCUUUCUAAGAGUCGAGUUGUUUGGGAAUGCAGCUCAAAAUGGGUGGUAAAUGCCAUCUAAGGCUAAAUAUUGGGGAGAGACCGAUAGCGAACAAGUACAGUGAUGGAAAGAUGAAAAGAACUUUGAAAAGAGAGUUAAACAGUACGUGAAAUUGCCAAAAGGGAAGGGUAGGAGGUCAGAGAUGCGGCCUGGGAUUCAGCCUUGCUUUUGCUUGGUGUUUUUCCCAGAUUGCAGGCCAACGUCGGUUUUGGGCACUGGAGAAGGGUAGGAGGAACGUGGCACCUCUCGGGGUGUGUUAUAGCCUCCUACUGGAUACAGCGACCGAGACCGAGGACAGCAGCGUACUCGCAAGAGCGGGCCUUCGGGCACCUUUACGCUUAGGGCGUUGGCAUAAUGGCCCUCUACACCCGUCUU
Molecule: ribosomal RNA, 555 nt
Filed under: Moesziomyces aphidis
Lineage: Eukaryota; Fungi; Basidiomycota; Ustilaginomycetes; Ustilaginales; Ustilaginaceae
Description: eukaryotic LSU rRNA
Rfam family: Eukaryotic large subunit ribosomal RNA
Source: RNAcentral